This is a long non-coding RNA of Hibiscus syriacus, 575 nucleotides long. RefSeq lists it as uncharacterized. NCBI's taxonomy places the organism in Eukaryota, Viridiplantae, Streptophyta, Magnoliopsida, Malvales, Malvaceae. The transcript is spliced from 3 exons. The record is from RefSeq and is a predicted model, not a curated record.
UUCUCAGCCGCAUCUCACCCCUUCUCCUCUCUCGCGGCCGCGCUGCUCACUCCCAAGAGACCCCAACCGCCAAUCUCCGAUGGCCUCACACUUCAGACCAACAUGCAAGCUUAUAAUCGGCCAAAGAACAUGACCCUCAACUUUCUGUCGACCAUAACGCCGGCAACGGCCCUUAUCUCUAUGGUAAACAGACCAUUCUCCCCUUUCGAUUUCUAAACCUCCUUCUCACCCUAGCAGCGAAUCAAGACCCUACGCCUCUCGAAACCAAACCACGAAUGCUCGCCUCCCGACGCUAGAUCCGAACCCACAAAGUAACUCGAAACAACUAAGUGGAGACCCGAACGGCUAUGAGACGAAACCGACGGGACUCCACCGGCCUCCGUACAACCGAGGGCACGGGUGACUGUUAUGUAGUUUAACGUGGGGUGCUUGGUUGUGGUGCCUCACAUGGGAGGCAUAGGUUGGUGGGUCCGGGUCGGGUUGUAAUUGGGUUUGGGGUUUGGGUCAAAUGCCCAUUUGUAAUUUGGCCUGAAAAAUACAAAUAAAACUUAAUUAAUAAUAAUAAUAAUAAUUAU